GAUCUAAUACCUCGGUAUCGAUACUAAAUCGAUACCAUAGGUGACAAAUAACCAGCCUCAAAAUAUAAGUGAAUUGAAAACAAUUUUAUUAAAUGCACUGCUUGGAACUCUGCAUGAAAAAUUGUGCAAACAAAAUGUAAAAAAAAUAAAAAAAAGUAGAUUGAGCAGAGG
Sinocyclocheilus grahami is the source of this 171-nucleotide long non-coding RNA. RefSeq lists it as uncharacterized. The transcript is spliced from 3 exons. Lineage: Eukaryota; Metazoa; Chordata; Actinopteri; Cypriniformes; Cyprinidae. The record is from RefSeq and is a predicted model, not a curated record.